CUUGAUAUUAACAGGAGACAACAGAACACCCAAACAACAACAAGAAACGAGAAACUAAACAAAACAGGGAGUGUCCUUUGCAGGUGGAACACAGGUCGAGUGACGAGCUGCUUGGGAGGCACUGAUGAGUUGCAAUUUGCUCAGGGCGAUGACUUCUGGCAUUGUGACUCCGCCCCCUUCCUGGAUGUCCGGCUUCCGACUGACCCUGGAAUGAACUGCCAAACCAUCCAGUCCGGGACACACUCUUCCUGCUACACAGCGCCCUCACAGACUCGUAUCAACCCAGGAGCUGAAGCUAUGGAGCCAGCACUAACCCCGGGAGCAUCUACACCUGCACACGAGAGCGUCCGCUCCGCAGGAUUAACUACUACGGAACCGUAUAAACUGCAAGACAAUGCUGUGAAGAUUGGGGGUUUUCAUAGAGUAGUAGGUUAUUAUUAUUAUUUGUUUAUUUAGCAGACGCCUUUAUCCAAGGCGACUUACAGAGACUCGGGUGUGUGAACUAUGCAUCAGCUGCAGAGUCACUUACAAUUACGUCUCACCAGAAAGACGGAGCACAAGGAGGUUAAGUGACUUGCUCAAGGUCACACAAUGAGUCAGUGGCUGAGCCGGGAUUUGAACCGGGGACCUUCUGGUUACAAGCCCUUUUCUUUAACCACUGGACCACACAGCGGGACGUUUCUUUUAGUGUGACGAGCACUCACCUUGUGUAACAAACUUUUAUUUUUUAGCCUAGCGUCAGCGUGGCAUGUCAACACCCAAUGCUCUGUGUUUGCCUCAUUAUUAUUCAGUGACGACCCACUCACAUGACAAACCCCCCUGUUACACACCUCUAUUGCAAAGUCUAUUCAAUUAUCGUCACAACUUUAGUUAGUUAAAUAUUCUGCUGAGUCCACCGAAAAAAUAAAAGGCAAUAAUGCCUGGCUCAGAAUUAUGCUGAUUCAUAAAUGUCAUAUUCCAUUUGGAUUAUGUUUACAUUGUUAAUCAGGGAAGCAAAUGUUCAAGUUCUCUUGAUUUAAUGGAUGUAUUUACGCUAUAGAAUCUUUUUCAUUUCCACACCAUAUCACCUACCAGCCGGCAUUCAUACUGUUCAUAUUGACAAUAUAAAUGAAGUACUAUAGAUUGUCAAGUAAAUACUAGUGUAGGGUAUUCACAUUUGAAAAUGCAGAAGAGAUAUUAUCACUGCCUUCAUUGAGAAAAUUAUAACAUAUCAUGGCCCAGCAUGCGGUAUCUGAGUCAUGCUGUUCAAGAUGCACCCCAGUAACAAAUACUGUUGGCAGUCACAGCAUAUAAGCACAU
Long non-coding RNA from Acipenser ruthenus (sterlet), 1299 nucleotides. RefSeq lists it as uncharacterized. The transcript is spliced from 3 exons. NCBI's taxonomy places the organism in Eukaryota, Metazoa, Chordata, Actinopteri, Acipenseriformes, Acipenseridae. The record is from RefSeq and is a predicted model, not a curated record.